This 332-nucleotide ribosomal RNA is filed under the name uncultured bacterium. RNAcentral's name for it is "bacterial SSU rRNA". It matches the Rfam family "Bacterial small subunit ribosomal RNA", at positions 568 to 898 of the family's 1533-position model. The record is from RNAcentral.
CACGCAGGCGGUCCUGUCAGUCUGGGGUGACAGUUCCCGGCUUCACCGGGAAAGUGCUCUGGAAACUGCAGGACUUGAGGGCUUCAGAGGGAUGUGGAAUUCCAGGUGGAGUGGUGAAAUGCGUAGAGAUCUGGAAGAACACCAAAGGCGAAGGCAGCAUCCUGGGAAGUUCCUGACGCUCGGGUGCGAAAGCCAGGGGAGCGAACGGGAUUAGAUACCCCGGUAGUCCUGGCCGUAAACGAUGACCACUAGACGUUGGGGGUAUCGACCCCCUCAGUGUCGUAGUUAACACGCUAAGUGGUCCGCCUGGGGAGUACGGUCGCAAGAUUAAA